UACGUAGGUGGCAAGCGUUGUCCGGAUUUACUGGGCGUAAAGCGCGUGUAGGCGGCUUGUUAAGUCUGUCGUGAAAUCUCCCGGCUCAACCGGGAUAGGUCGACGGAUACUGGCAGGCUUGAGGGGAGCAGAGGAAGGUGGAAUUCCCGGUGUAGUGGUGAAAUGCGUAGAUAUCGGGAGGAACACCAGUGGCGAAGGCGGCCUUCUGGGCUCAACCUGACGCUGAUACGCGAAAGCGUGGGGAGCGAACCGG
This 253-nucleotide ribosomal RNA is filed under the name uncultured bacterium. RNAcentral's name for it is "partial 16S ribosomal RNA". It matches the Rfam family "Bacterial small subunit ribosomal RNA", at positions 524 to 776 of the family's 1533-position model. The record is from RNAcentral.